UUCUGAAAAAAUAUGGAUUUAAAAAGAAACUUGAAGAUUUGCACUUAUGUAAAAAUAACAAAAAAAAAAUGGAUGUGGAGUCGAGGUGGAUAUCGGUGCGAGUGCGUGCGUGUGUGAGACAGAGUCAUACAUUAGUCUGCACAAUGUAUUUUUUUCAUUGCUUACCAAGAUGUAUCAAAAGAAGAGAGGCCAUUAUUGUCAUUUUGUUGAAGUGAGGAUUUUGUAUUUGUGUGUGUGCGCGCGAGGCAGAGUGGGCAAUAUUGCACAAGGCAUCAUUCUCAUCACCAGCUCUUAGUCCCUGGAUAAAUAUGUUUUCCUUCUUCCCUGGCAGUUGCCCCAGUCCCAGCCUGCCUCUCAUGAUUGAACACCUGUUCUGCUUCCCUCUUGCGUUAACAUUUCUCUUCGGGACAUGUGGCUCAGCUCCAGCAUGUACAGCCACCUGCGUGUGCACCUUCAGUCCCCAGCCUCUGCAUGUGUCCCCAGCUGCGUCUGUGCAGCCACCUGCGUGUAGGCAAUCAGUCCCUGGCCUCUGCUUGUGUGCCCAGCUGCAUCUGCGCAGCCACCUGCAGGUGGGUCAUCAGUCCCCGGCCUCUGACUGUGUCCCCGGCUACACUGCGCCUCUUCAUGCGUUUCGUGUGAGUAUCAGUGCUUGCGUGGGUGUAAGCUAGACUCCUGUGCUGUCUCCUCGUGCCGGGUGGCGUUCCUGUUUGUGUUGUCCGGAUCGGCCUUUCUCUGUUGGUGUGUUUGUGAAUUCGUCCCAGCAGCUUCAACUGGAGCCUAAGGAGCCUGAAGACUUGUGAUUCUCUCUCUCAUUUCUCAAGCUCUUUCCCUCUGGCAUGGAAAGCAGGUCUUUACUUUGCUUUGUGGGCAGUGAAAGUGUGCCGUCUCACCUCCCCAUUCCAGCCUUCUGGCCCUUGUGGUUCUCCAUAUUUGUCCAGGGACUCUCUUGAAAGAGAAAAUCAUUUGUUGUCAGUUCUUGGAUGUGAUUUAUAUUGCCUGUUGUCGAUUUGUCAUGCAACUUGGAGAGCAUGAAGGAAUGGAGUGAAUGUUUGUGUGCGUGGGUGAGUGGGUUUUCUACCGAGCUAUAAAAGAUACAGACAUCUGAACUGUGUUAAGAAACAGCCAGAUGUGCAGAUGUUAGUAUAUUGUGUUACUCUCAUUGUUGUUGCUAUUGAUGAUGAUGACGAUGCUAAUUUUGUCUUUUUUAUAUAUCCAUUAUAUAUAUAAAGUGAUAAGUAUUUGAACUAAGAUUCAGAGCACUUUGAGGCUGCUAUGAGUCUUCAUUGCCUCCCGUCUAAGUGCGUUUGUGUUUUUUCUGUUUCGAAACAAAAAACAUUGAAUGUAUUCCAAAACAGAACGGAAAUGGAGGAAAAAAUGAUCCCAGAUUCUCGCGCCUGACGGGACGCGGGGAUUAUUUCACAGAGGAAUCGGACGGAAGGUGGAGGCUUUGUUCUUUUUUUAUUUGUAUAAAAAAAACUCAAAAUGACAAAAAAAAGUAAUUUUAAAAAAAACCUACGAACACCAGACUGCUACUGUUGAAGACACUGCCUCUUCUGAACCCUGUCAAAACCAGUUUUUUUAUACCUGUAUUCCUCACUGGGGGUGUGUGGUUGUUUACAGGCCUCCUGGAAAUCUGAUGGGUCCCCCCCUUACCCCCCCCCCCACAUGCGCGAUUGAUCCACGCGGGACUCUUCUGUCACAAGCGCUCGAAACAGGAAGAGGAAGUGGCGGGGCAGGGGGGGUUGGCAUUUCCGUUCCUACAAUGUGAUAAACACCCCCCCCCCCCAGAUCCCCAUCCCAAAACAGUUUUUUUGUAGGAAUAAGUGGUGUGGGGGGGGAAGGGGAGAGAAACAGGGGCGUACCACAACACAACUGGUUUUACAAAAACUUGUGAAAGAUUUUUUUUCUGGGGGGAGGGGGUGGGAAUCUUCUUGGGGGGAGGGGGGGGUGUUAUGUUCGUUGAGUGUGAAGAUUUUUUGUAUGGCUAAUUUUUUUUGUCAUUUCAGUUUUGGCUUAAACUGCCUGUUCAUUUCAGAAAAGAGAGAGCGGGGAAAAAAACACACAGAAGCCGAACGGCUUAAACUAAGGAGAGAAUCUGUCCGGUACACGACACUUCAAUCAGAAAAGAAGUCUUUGCUUCAUUUUUUCAGGCGAUGAUUUUUGUUGGGGAUAGUUGGUUUUAUUUUAUUUUUUUUUCCACAUUGCUAAAAAAAAAAAAGAAAAUCUAAAAAAAUACAGGUGGGUUGGAGUGGAGGGCCGCAAGGAGCUGAAGGCCCAGAAGGAAGGAAGAUGGCGCCUCUGCUGUCUGAGGAAGUGUACAACUGGGAAUGCCAUCUUCCGAUUGGAAGAAUUUUUCCACGGUUUUCCUUGGGGCAGAGAGAGGAGAAAUGCCCCUGGAUGGGUCCUGCUGGGGCGUCCCACUAUGCACUUUUGUUCCUUGGGGGGGGGGGAACAGGUCGGGGGCAACUGUGAGGAUGUUCUCAAGCUGGCAGAAGGCGGGAGACGGGGCACGUCUGGGGCGGACGAGAAGCUUGCGGAGCCCAGCCGGGACCGGACGCUGGGCUGGGCGAGAGAGGAGGUCGAGACUUUCUCUCUCUCACACAGACACGGGACAGACGCCCGCGCCCUCUUCCGCAGCGCGGGGGAGGGGCCGCGGGACGGACUCGGCGACCGCUAGCAAGGACAACGCUGGGGAUAGCCGGGCCUCAGCCAUGAAGGAAGCUCUGGAAGCUGAACCCCCAAAAACGAGCUCCAAGCGUUCUUUCGAAGCCUCUGCCAGUCGAGAGCACUGCGGGCCCCCUCCCCCCAACACACACACACACACACACGCCCCAUCCCAACAUUUUUCCGUGACCGCUCCCUCCCAGGCCGAUCCGGGACAGGGCCGGGCGGGAGUUUGGGGAGCCGGGACAGCAGCGACGAGCCCAGUGAACGGGAAGAGACCGGAACUGGCUGGAGGGUGUCCGGCAGAUGGAGACCUUUGCCAUUCCGUUUCCCAUGGAUCACAAGCCCGUGUCGCUGCAGUGGGUGUCCCAGGAACUUCUAUCAGAGACAAAAAAAAACUUUUUAACCUGAACCAGAAGGGAUUUUGGAGAUCAUAUAAAGUACAUGCUGGUUCAAGCUGUGGAUAAUCUUCCUGACUGGCCUGGAUUGUUUUUGUUCAAAUUUGGUUUGUUCAGCAAAUUGGCCAAAUGGAGGAGGAACACAAGCAAGUUUUUUUUAUACUUUUCCCCCUUCUUCUGCGGGAGGUGGAGUGAAGAUUUUCGGCGCGUUGGAGGGAGAGAAGGGGCCACACACCAGUCGGAGACACAAGGAAUUGCAUGUCCCACAGCUUCAGAAGGACCUUCCCUCGACCUCCCGUGCGGACAGACUAUGAAUGUCCUCCUCGCUCCUCCUGCCUCUCCCAGCUUGCACCCCGGCACCGCCUUCGCUCGUUUCCCUUUCGUGAAGGACGGGCCGCAAGUCUCCGCCCAGCUCUUUGGAGUUGGGGAACGGAGAGCAGCUGUGACGGUGUCGGCAGAGGGGUUGGAGGGGGUUCGGGGAUCAUCCGCCUGUUAUCCCAGUGUAUCCGAAUUCCUGUUUUUCCAAUCCCCCCUCCCACCUUUUUUGUUUGGAUUUGGUUUGGAACUUUUCCAGGAAAGUCUGGUUCAUUUGAUUUGAUCUUUUCCUCGUGCCCUCCCCCUCUGCCCCUCCCCUGGCCGGACGGACUCGGCGGAGCUCGGGCCCUGUCUCCGCGCCGAGCCUUCCUCUUCUCCAAACACAGCCGGGAGCAGGGGGGGGGCACCUCCGGGGCAGGAGUGCAGAGAUCCAGGGAGGGCCCCGCCUCGAACCGUCGGCCCGAAUCAGCCAGCCCCCCUGCACGGCUGGGUGCGGGGUGUGAGUGGGCAGGCUCAGGGGACCCCUGUUCCUCCUGGCUCUGAACGGGCCAGCAGCUGGACUGUGAUGUGUCUCAUAUUGUACAUAAAAGAAGAAGAAAGAGCUUCUAAUGUAAAUAAUGUAAGAUGUUUGGUUUUUGUUUUUGUUUUUUUCCAAUUUCGUUGACAUGCCUUAACUGUACAAAUCAGCCACCCCUCGUGGCUCACGCGUUCUUUUUAUGAUGACAUGCGGGGGGGGGGGGGGGGGGAAAGCUCACAGAUUUAAAAAUGGGGGAACACCGAGAGCGAGCCGUAGCCAUGGCGCCUCCCCCUCGGGCCUCACCUGUGUGGCGAGGGGGUGUGGUCUCGCCCAGGUGAGCGACCAGCGGGGAGGGGGCAGGGGGUCGACGCCCGUUCCCAGGCCGCGCAGGCCAGCGAGCUUCCAGAAACUGAGCGCAGGGAUGGGACUGAGAUGCCUUGGCAGUCUCCCUCUGAAUCAUGUGCACAAGUGUUAAAAUAAAGUCCAGUCUGAAGCGCCGAUAUGUAGCCGCUGUGCAGCCUCUGUGCCGGAGGUCUGCGCGCACCUGCGCUGGGCUGCGCCUGGCCCGACGGGCGAGCUGCCCCCUGCUGUGCAGCCAGCAUCUGCUCUCAAACCCACUUGCUGAUUCCUGGUACCAUCGCUUAUGGGGAGGAGGGGGGGGGCUUUUUAUUUUCCUUUUCUUUGCUUCCCGGCCUCAGUGCUGGAGGCCGGACUGUGUUGUGCUUCUUUGCGCUUGACUGGAGUUGUGCCAAAUAGCCACUCUGCCAGAUAGCGUUUCCUGGCCGCAUUGGGCACCGUGGGAGUCGAGUAUAUUCUCCCCCUGCGUGGCUGGAUAGGAUUGUCAAAGUACUGUCCCCUUGCGGGGAUAGCAUUGCAGAUCAGUGCCUACAAGCGUGCUGUGGAAUUUCAAGUGUGCAGUUGCGCCCAACUUGCAGAAUUUGCUGUGUAAUGUGCUUGUACAGAGCCCCAUUAACAGGAUGUGCUCUGUAGAUGCCAUAGAGCAGCUCUACAGACCUGUUUCUGAAGAACUCCAAUCCUGUGGGCCUUAGGCUUCACUGGUUUCUAAAGAUUGGCAACACCCGUGUGUGACUGCUAAAUUAAGCAAGUCGCCCAUUCAAACAGCAGAAGCCUGGUCCUCGAAGGCUGAAGGAGUGCACAGAUUCCAAUUCACAUUGAUCUCCAAAUUGUAUUAUUUAAUAAGUUGCCUGACAAGCAGGUUUAAAUCUGAAACCUAUUCAACCUGAAAGUCGUGGCCUUUCUGGAACCAGGCCUGAACUGGCUGCUCUGGAUCUUGACACCCAGUGCUUCUGGGACAGGGGUCGCUGUGCGGCAGGGCGGUGUUUCACAGAACAGCAGGCGUCGGCUGAGCUGUUCUGUCUUACUCUGUGUGGCUCUCUGGCAACGGCGCGGUGCCUCCGAUUGCAGCAACAACACUAGACUUAUUUUUGGUUCGAUGGGCCUGGAGGUUGAUUGAGGAUUUAGGGAACUGAAUAUCGGUCCCGUGUUCCCCGAUUGGUAUGGCAGCCGGACUCCGGACCCCCUCGCUCACAGCACAGAGGAUUGUCCCAUUUCGGGGAAGCUAGCAGUAGGCACAGAGGUGUUCAGGGCUGUUGCCUUAUUGCGAAAGGAUUUGCAGAGUUGCCGUUAGGAAAGUCUCUGGCUUCUCCGGUUUGGGCUGAGUUGUGAACGAGCAAGGGUUGGAGGAGAGCUGUCGGUGUGCACAGAGUCUGGUCUGCUCCCUAGGUGGGACCUGUUCACCUCUGUUCGUGCACAUUGCUUGUUUGAGUCUCAGGAUGGUCAAACGAACCUCUUGCAGAGGAAGCUGGAAUAGUUAAUUACCCAGAUACCUAGGGAAAGGCAUUAGCUUAUCUUGUUCUCUCGAUUACCCUCCAAUGCCUAUAUCUCCUCCAAUGAAACAUUCCCCUACACUUACCGAACAGAGAAAGAAAAGGGGACAGUGUAGAUGUUGUCUUUGCCCCGGGCAGGAGGUGCCGCGCUGUCACAUGACUCUUGUGAAAAGGUGUGAACUGGCAGUGACAACACGUUGAUGGUAAUAUUGGGAGGGUUUUUACAGCAGAAAGGUGGACUGGGGGCCUUUUUCUAACUGGCUUCUCUUUGAUUAUUGUUCUUGGUGUGAUCUUUUAGCUGUGCAGGAUCUUCUGGUCCAGUUCAGGGCAAGACUGUUCAGUGAAGAGCUGUGAAGUCCAGUACAGCACAGGGUGUAGAACAGUACUGCAGAAUAAAGAGUAUGGAGAUCAGUCCAGUAGAUCUAUGCAACAGAGCCGUAUAGUAAAGUCCAGAUCCAGAAACCGGGUUAAUUUGGUACAGAAAAGCCUGGAACAGCCCAGGACAAUAAAAAUUAAAAAUGUUUCCAGUACCGCAAAGUCUAGAACUAUAAACCCAGGCCGUCACAAAGUCCAGAACUUGAAGAUAAGAUCAGCCCAGCCCCUGUGAUUUUUUUUUCUGCACCGGAACUUUGAAAUUCACCCACUGAUAUGCAGAAGUAGAGAGGCAGUCCUGGUCUUGAAUGGGCCUGUGAUGUCAGUAGGUUUUCACUCCAGACUCCAGGCCUGUUAUUGGCUGGAUUGGACCAACAGAUCUGUCUCGUUCAGCUGUCAGGGUCCUGGGGCCGUCAUCGGACAUAACCCAGACACCCUGGCCCUCCAGGACCAGGACUGAGCAGGCCUGAUCCAGCUGUGCUAGGUUACGUCAUAGUUCCUUCUGUAAUGUUCUCCCAUGCAAGAUGUUUCGGAGAAAAUGAGCUCCUUACCUUACAGCAUGUCUGCUGCCUCCCACCUUCUGCGUCUUCCGACUCCACGAUCCCAAGUGACGCUACGCCUGUCUGCUUUCUCUGGGGCUUUUCCAGCGCACUUUCAGCACCUGUCUUCCCGAACGAUUCCAGUCUGAUUUUAUACUUAAUGUGGGAGAAAUAAAUAUUUAAUGGGGAUUCAGUUCUUCUGGUGCUGCAUCUGCAUUCUGCAGGGCGGGCAGUCUCGUCUUUUUCUCACCAUUGUUCCCAGUAGGGUCCAUUAAAAUGUUGAACACAGAGAAUUCCAGUGCUGUUCAUAAAACGUAAUGCAGUAUUUUCCCAAAGCCCUGGCAUCUUUAAGUUUAGAUGGGGAUACACACAGAUCCUCGCCUUGAUGUAUUACUUGCCAUCCCAGCGUGCUUUGCUCUCAGGAGCUCCCCUACACAGUGGAUCGGAGAUGUGACCUCUCUGUGUGCUUGUUUUGUUUUGGAGGUAUUCUGAUUUUAUACGAGAAGGGUCAGACCUUAUGUAACGAAUGUGGCUUGUGAUGUGGAAACCCCACCUCUUAAGGGAUAUCUGUCCGUAUCCGGACCGGUAAGAGGGAUGACCGCUCCAGCCAAAAGCUCCUUGCCGGAGCUGGUCAAAAGUUUAAUAAGUGCCAGUGGUACACACUGGCGUUCUCGACAUCAGUAUUGCCCCUGUGUAUCGUGAUAGUAAUCCUAGAUUUGAACCCCCAACUGCUAGGAUGAGCGAGUGUUCAGUGGGAUUGUCUACCGAUAAGUCGAUUGUUUGAUACCAAGGUUUUUUAAUUUGCACAGACCUAUUUAAUACUGUAGGUUUUUAACUGGAAUUAAACCAGUUUUUGUAUUGUGAUUGUACAGAACUGUGAGCAGCAGUGUUUCAAGUUGUCUAAAUAUUUUAAGAACCUCCUAGGUUUCCUUUCUGCUGUAACAGAACAGUGGGGUUUCUGGACUGAGGAGCAGAAUGAGACGAGCUGUUGCUUCUUAUCCCGUGCUCCGGUCAUGGUCCUGUUUGUGUUUUAAUUUUGGCUUCACACAAUUCUGCCUUUUCACACCCAUUUCGCUCAGCUCCAGCUUUGAACUUUGUGAAUGUUCUAGAGAUCUAAAACGAAACAGAACAACUGAAAGAAAAUGUAAAUAGUUUUUUCUUUGAAGAGAACAAAAAAUAAACCGAUUUAAAGUUGAA
Lepisosteus oculatus (spotted gar) is the source of this 7849-nucleotide non-coding RNA. The record is from RefSeq and is a predicted model, not a curated record. Lineage: Eukaryota; Metazoa; Chordata; Actinopteri; Semionotiformes; Lepisosteidae.